GAUCCUGGGCUCAGGAUGAACGCUAGCUACAGGCUUAACACAUGCGGAAGUCGAGGGGCAGCAUGAACUUAGCUUGCUAAGUUUGAUGGCGACCGGCGCACGGGUGAGUAACACGUAUCCAACCUUCCGUUUACUCAGGGAUAGCCUUUCGAAAGAAAGAUUAAUACCUGAUAGUAUGGUGAGAUUGCAUGAUAGCACCAUUAAAGAUUUAUUGGUAAACGAUGGGGAUGCGUUCCAUUAGG
RNAcentral lists this ribosomal RNA (242 nucleotides) under uncultured bacterium. RNAcentral's name for it is "partial 16S ribosomal RNA". It matches the Rfam family "Bacterial small subunit ribosomal RNA", at positions 15 to 245 of the family's 1533-position model. The record is from RNAcentral.